CCUACGGGUGGCAGCAGUGGGGAAUAUUGGGCAAUGGGCGCAAGCCUGACCCAGCAACGCCGCGUGAAGGAAGAAGGCUUUCGGGUUGUCAACUUCUUUUAAGAGGGAAGAGCAGAAGACGGUACCUCUUGAAUAAGCAACGGCUAACUACGUGCUAGCAGCCGCGGUAAUAGGUAGGUGGCAAGCAUGGUCCGGAUUUACUGGGUGUAGAGGGCGUGUAGCCGGGCUGACAAGGCAGAUGUGAAAUCACGGGGCGACAACACGGAACUUUGUUUGAAACUGUCGGUCGUGCGUAUCGGAGAGGCAGGCGGAAGUCGUGGUGUAGCGGUGAAAUGCGUAGAUAUUAGGAGGAACACCAGUGGCGAAGGCGGCCUGCUGGACGACAACUGACGGUGAGGCGCGAAAGCGUGGGGAGCAAACAGGAUUAGAUACCCGUGUAGUC
RNAcentral lists this ribosomal RNA (442 nucleotides) under uncultured bacterium. RNAcentral describes it as "partial 16S ribosomal RNA". It matches the Rfam family "Bacterial small subunit ribosomal RNA", at positions 338 to 795 of the family's 1533-position model. The record is from RNAcentral.